RNAcentral lists this long non-coding RNA (850 nucleotides) under Equus asinus (donkey). Its description in RNAcentral is "lncRNA (ENSEASG00005029994.1)". The record is from RNAcentral. Lineage: Eukaryota; Metazoa; Chordata; Mammalia; Perissodactyla; Equidae.
UCCUCCUCUUUUUGCUGAGGAAAACUGGCCCUGAGCUAACAUCCUUGCCCAUCUUCCUCUACUUUAUAUGUGGGACGCCUGUCACAGCAUGGCCUGAUGGGCGGUGCCGUGUCCGCACCCGGGAUCCAAACUGGUGGACCCCAGGCCACCAAAGCAGAACGUGCGCACUUAACUGCUGCGCCACUGGGCCAGCCCCUGUAGUAAGUUUUGGAAUCAGGAAAAAUUAGCCCUGAGCUAACUACUGCCAGUCCUCCUCUUUUUGCUGAGGAAGUCUGGCCCUGAGCUAACAUCCAUGCCCAUCUUCCUCUACUUUAUAUGUGGGACACCUGCCACAGCGUGGCGUGCCAAGCAGUGCCACGUCCGCACCCGGGAUCCAAACCAGCGAACUGCGGGCCGCUGAGAAGUGGAACGUGCGAACUUAACCACUGUUAACCGGGCUGGCCCCUCAUCUUGUAACUUUGAAAGAUGAUGUGCUGUCUUCACCACUCAGCAGUUUCCUGGAGAUAAGUCAGUGUCCUGAAUAUAAAUGAUCAGGUCCCUGGAGCAAUAGCAUGAGAAUCUCCUGUGGCAACAGUAAAGAGUGCAGAUUUGUGGACUGUCUUGGGGUGAGGUCUGCGAAUUUGCAUAUUUGUAAGCUCUCAUAAUGAUCUUGAUGCAUAUUAAGUCUUGAGAACUAUUUCUCUGGGUAGUUAGUCCCAGUUCUGCCACUUAAAAGCUGUGUGGUAUGGGGCAAGUUAUUUCAACAGUUCUGUUUUAAUCUCAGCCCUGGGUGAGAGGCCAGAUAACAACAAUAGAUAAUAACAGUAACAUAUGGAUUAUCCCUUUAUUUAUUUAUUUAUUUUUGCUGAGG